GAUGAACGCUGGCGGCGUGCCUAAUACAUGCAAGUCGAGCGAACGGACGAGAAGCUUGCUUCUCUGAUGUUAGCGGCGGACGGGUGAGUAGCACGUGGAUAACCUACCUAUAAGACUGGGAUAACUUCGGGAAACCGGAGCUAAUACCGGAUAAUAUUUUGAACCGCAUGGUUCAAAAGUGAAAGACGGCCUUGCUGUCACUUAUAGAUGGAUCCGCGCUGCAUUAGCUAGUUGGUAAGGUAACGGCUUACCAAGGCAACGAUGCAUAGCCGACCUGAGAGGGUGAUCGGCCACACUGGAACUGAGACACGGUCCAGACUCCUACGGGAGGCAGCAGUAGGGAAUCUUCCGCAAUGGGCGAAAGCCUGACGGAGCAACGCCGCGUGAGUGAUGAAGGUCUUCGGAUCGUAAAACUCUGUUAUUAGGGAAGAACAUAUGUGUAAGUAACUGUGCACAUCUUGACGGUACCUAAUCAGAAAGCCACGGCUAACUACGUG
RNAcentral lists this ribosomal RNA (497 nucleotides) under uncultured bacterium. Its description in RNAcentral is "partial 16S ribosomal RNA". It matches the Rfam family "Bacterial small subunit ribosomal RNA", at positions 28 to 507 of the family's 1533-position model. The record is from RNAcentral.